GUGACAUGAAAAAAAAAGUCUUCAAGUAGGUGUCAGUGUGGAUCCCACUGCAGGUGUGCAUGUGUCUGGAAAUUUUUGAGUAGGCCAUGCAUGUGCACUGUGCUCCUGUGUGAGUGCAUAAAGGGAAGAACGACCAUGACCCUCCCUCUGUUCCCUCUUACCCUCACCUCCCUCAACAGCAAGACAGAACCUGGACAAUUUCAGACCUGCUAGUUCAUAGCUUUAACUAAAUCUUACACAGAACUUCUGAAGUUCUUGAAAACACCUUUUGAUUACCUUCAUCUUUGAUAGCUAUGAUCAUAUUGACCCAUCUUGACUGAGUACCAACAGUUAGACUUCCCUAUACAGGCUUUCCUAGACUGACACACUCGCGAUAUAGAUCCUCACCCUGUACAGUGUAAGCUUAUGUAAUUCACCUCCUCCUUCAACAUGGAGAGGAAUAUGCGACAACUUUCUGACCUGAGUUACGAUUCCUACACACUGGUUUUAAACAAAGUAAAAACAAAUGUACUAACUAUAAAAGAUAAAUUUUAAGUGAUUAUAAGGGAUAGCAAACAGAUCAAAGCAGAUUACCAAGCAAAUAAAAAAAACUGCAAACUCAGUUUAAUAUACUACAUAGAUCAGAUAUGAAUAGCAAAUUCUCACCCUAAGUGAUGAUACAAAGGAGGCUGCAGAUUCUUAAGGGGCAAGCUGAAUUUGCGUACAGCUUGGAAUUUUCAGGUAUUUCAUUCACAGGCUAAAAAUCCCUUUAGCCUGGGUCCAGCACUUCCCCCAGUUCUGACUGUGUUCCUCAGGUGUUUCCAGGAGCCUUCUUGGGUGGGGAGUCAGUGAAGAACCCAGAUGAUGUCAUUCCCCUGUCUUAUAUAGCUUUUGCAUAUGACGAGAUCUCUUUGUUUCAAAACUUGGUUCCCAUGCCAGUCAAUGAAAAAAUAUUGACUUCCAAAGAUGGAGUCCAGCACCUGGUGACCUGGUCAAAUGUCCCUAUAGUGUCACAGCAGCCUCGAAGGCUGUUAGUAGCAUUCUCAGGAAGACUUCCCAGAUGAGAGAGAAGCUUCUUCUAAGUCCUAUUGUUUUCUCUAAUGGCCUUUAACUUGAAUGGGACUUUCCCAGCUAGCCAUCUAGACUGAGAGCCUUUUGUGUAGUGGGUUUUCUUCAGGUGUAAACACAUUUGAAAUAUAGAUACAUACUCAAUAUUCGUAACUUGAGAUACAAAAAUGAUACAUGCAUACAAAUAGGAUAAUCAUAUUCAGCAAAUCAUAACCUUUCUAAUGAUGUCUCACAUGCCUUAUCUUGCACAAAAUACAUCAUAACUAUGCCAUAAUCAUAAUAUCUCUGUGAAGAGUAUCAGGCACAGUGUCACAGGAGGUACCGACCACAGCUGAGGACCUGUCCUUUUUGAGGGCAUGGAGCUCUUUAGAGAGCAGGUAGAUAGUGCUCUGCAUUCAUUGGAAGACUCAAAGGUCACUUUACGAUCCCCCAGGAUUUGCAUCCCAACACUGUACUACAAGCUGUAGCACCCAUAGGCCCAGUUGAGGCCACAGACACCAGCUGAUCAACACAAGUAUCCUGAAUGCCAGGCCUAGAAAAGACUAAGGUACAUUAGAGGACACUGACCUUUUUCCUCCUUGGCAACACACCUACCCCUGGCACACAACAGCAAAUUUGACAGCACAGUUGGAAGCGACAUCAGAUCCAAUCAAAUGAGCUUUACCUUUGGAAUGUGCCUCACUCAAUUCUUCUGGGAAUGAUCUGCCCUUACAUCAAACAGAUGGGUGUUAGGGAUCAUCACCCAUGGCUAACCCACCCAUCCAAUUUUCACUCUUUACCUUUCACCUAUUCUCCUUGCCCAUCCUUCUUCAGAGACCCUUUUCAUGAGAGCCUAUUGCAAUCAGAAGUGGCCUCCUUGCUUCAUCUGGGAGCUAUGGAGGAGGUAACAGAAAAGUUCAGGAGGAGAGGCAUCUAGUCCCAGUGUUCCCUGAUUUUGAAGAAAGGGUGUCUUUGUCCUAUCCUAGACCUGAGAAGACUCAACAAAUAUGCUGUCUCUUGUUCAGGAUGGUAAUACUUGCCUCCAUCAUCCUCUCUCUCUCUCUCCAAGUUCAAGAUUGGUUCAUGGCUCUCAACUUGCAGGAGAUGUUUCCAUAUCCAAAUCCACCUAGCCCACAGGAAGUACCUAAGAUUGACAGUGGGGUCAAACCAUUACCAAUACAGAGUUCUGUCCUUUGGAUUCUCCAGUGCACCAAGAGUAUUCACAAAAUGCUUGGCACUAAUGGCAGUGUACUUAAGGAGACAGAGCAUCUGUAUCUACUUGUACCUGAAUGAUUGGCUGAGCAGAGACAGGUCCCAGCAGGAGAGUGGGAUCCUUGGAUUACAUAUUUUUCCUGUUGUCCCAAUUAGGACUCCUUAUGACUUACAGAAAUUGCCAUUGCCCCAUCACAGAUGAUAGAGUUCAUAGGAGCUAUGACUAACUCCAUGUCAGCCAAAGUCUACCUGUCAGAAGGCAGAUUCUGGUUUCUCCCAUUACUAGUCAAUGACCUGAAGUCAAAUUCAGUGAUGGUGUAUAUGUGUCUGGGGCUGUUGGUCACAUGUUGCCAUGCACAUAUAUGAUGCCGCUUGCCAGACUUCAUCAUCGCCCAUUACUCCUCUGGCUGAGGUCCAUGCACACCCUGUCGAGACACCACAUAGACAAAAAGGUCAUAGUCUCAUCCCAAGUCUUAUCAGAGCUAACUUGGUGGGUAGACCCAUUGAAUAUACCAAAAGGGGUCUCUGUUUCCUCCCCAAGUACGACACCUAUCACAGAUGUUUCAGGGAUGCAUUUGGGGUGCCUACCUGAACCUCCUGCAGAUGCAUAAGGAACAUGACCUCAGAAUGACCUACGAUUAUACAUGAAAUCCUGACAGACAACACAGUAAUGCACUAUAUAAACAAACAGGAAGGCACCCGAUCAUCCCCUAUUUGCCAGGAAGCCAUCAGACUAUGGAUGUGGUUCCAUCAACACAGAUCAGCCCUGCUGGCUCUACACUUUCCAGGGGUCAACAACAACCUGGAAGACUUUGUAAGCAGGCAUGCAGUGACCAAUCACAAGCAGUCACUGAAGGAGUCUAUCAAAGACAUGAUAUUCCAUCACCAAUUCCCCUGAUCCCCAGGAUGCUAUCCAACACCAGGACAAGGCUACGGGCAUCUAAUAGCCCUUUACUGGCCAACCCAGUUUUGGAUGUAAGACCCGGCCUGCCAGAUACAAUAUCCCAGAACCACAAUCAGAUCUUGCACCUGUACCCAUAGUCGUUAUGACUGAUGGCUUAGAUAUUGGCUGCUUGAGCAGUAGAGACAGAGACUGCUCCAUACAGGUUCAAAAGAUUCUCAUGCAAAGCAGAAAAUCCUCCAACAGGAAGAUUUACUUCUCAAAGUGGAAAAGAUCUUUCAUAUGAGCAGCCCCAAAUGGUUUGGAUCCAGUUAGGGAACUGAUUCCAAAAAUCCUGGUGUACACUGCUCCUGAAAUAGGUGAGACCAGCAUUCAGUUAUCUCAAAGUCCACUUGUCAUUAAUAAUUGUUUGGCUCAUUCAAAUUAUGCUCCUAACUCCCAUCAUCCUGAGGAGAAGCUGCUUGCCAGACAUCCACAUGUACAGAUGCUCAAAGAAAGAACUUACAAUAACUGUUUUUUAGAUGCAGUAGUCAGAGUGGAUCCCACAACACUCCAUCCAUCCUUGUUUUUUGGAGUCCUCAGCUAUCAGAGGCUUCAAACUGCAGAGGAAAAGAGGGAGGCUCCCAGCAACCCCCAAGCUUUAUGCCCUCGCAAAGGAGCGUGAGGAGGCAAAGAGCAUGUGCACAGCCCCACUGGACACCACUAUGCAAGAAUGUCCAGUUUCACACUGAUGAGGCUCGUGUGCAUCUUCAGUGGUAUCCACACUGAGUACAACAUCUCCAGGAACCACAGUUGCUGUAAGGUAAGUAACGUUCUUUCAACCUCUAAGAAAAAGGAGGGAAUGAAGUAUGUCUGAAGAAUUCCCUGCUUGGGAUUCUCAGGUCAAAGGGCAUGGCUGAAGGCAUGGCACUCCUUUCCCAUGAGGAGUGUUGCAGUCAAGGCUAGCAGCCUCCAGAGGCAUGGGAAAUGCCAGGUGACCACACAUGUAGAUAAGAAAUAAAUAUAAAGGUGUAAGGGGACACUUUUAACUUAAGUCUCCAAAGUGAGACAUUGAACUUGAUUUUUUCCUUGGGGCUAUGCAGUAGCUUGAAAAGAAUUCUCACUGUCUGUGAGACAUACUGUUAAAACAUUUUUCUUAUUCAGGUCUUGAUCUUGCACAGGACAAGUAUUGAGUGUAGCACAAUGUGUAAAAUGAUGAGGAUGACAAGGAAUAGAGGGGAUUGCAAGAAUACACUAAAGAGCAUUAUUGUACAGCUACAAAGUUAUUCUUCUCUUGUAACAGGAAUACAGCCAAAGAGGAUUCAGGAUUGGCAUAUCUGAUUUGCCUUGUGCUCAUCAGAGAAGAGGAACAUUCAUCCCACUCUGAGCACCUUGAAAGAGAGAAAUCAGGUCUUCUGUUUGCCAUCUCUUGGUUACUUUUUCUACCUUUCCCAUCAUAUGCUGGGCAGCCAGAAAGAUCAACCAAGUUCAAGCUUAAUUAAUCCUGAUCAUCCCUUAUGAGUUUAUUCUGUUCUAUAUAGGUUCUUCUAAUGUGCUCAUCACUUGUAAUAACUUAAUGAAGACACUCGUGGCUUGUAAAUUGCUGUAUGUGUUUGUCUGCCACAAAUAAUGCCAGUCUCUUGGGACUUCCUUCACUUGGCCCCCUAGACCUACCCGUCUGAGGCUCACAGACCUUAGUAGCCGUAGCUCCUAGAUCAUAGUUACUCUCAAAAGCUGGAUGAUUUCCUAAUGAAAUUCAUUAAAACUUUCACUAAUUGAUCUUA
Gopherus flavomarginatus (Mexican gopher tortoise) is the source of this 4902-nucleotide long non-coding RNA. RefSeq lists it as uncharacterized. The record is from RefSeq and is a predicted model, not a curated record. The transcript has 2 exons. Lineage: Eukaryota; Metazoa; Chordata; Testudines; Testudinidae.